RNAcentral lists this long non-coding RNA (508 nucleotides) under Homo sapiens (human). Its description in RNAcentral is "novel transcript". The record is from RNAcentral. Lineage: Eukaryota; Metazoa; Chordata; Mammalia; Primates; Hominidae.
ACAAACAAGGUAUUCUUCUCCAUGAGGUCUUCACUUCCUUGUACUGUCUCUCCUGAAGUCUUAUUCCCUGGUCUAAAUAAUUCUUGCCUGCCAAUCUAUCAACCCCUCCUGCCCUGCUGUGCUCAGACAUGCCCGCCAGGAAACCACCCCCUCCCUGCUGUAACAGCUUUACCCGCAGAAACUGUUCUUCCCUGCGCUCUUCUAAUUAGCUAAUUACAUUUAGCUUAGACUGUGCGGCCGACCCCAACCAAUAGGGGAAUGAAACAGCAACUAAGGCCAACAGGGUUAGGGAUUAAAAACCCUCUCCAUUAAAAAUGCUCUCCAUUGUGUGAUGUGCUCUCGCCAUUGCUCCACCCACAAGAUACACUCUUCUAUACAAGUAAAUUUGCCUAGCUGAGAAAACUUAUAUUCAAAUGCUAUUUCUUUUGUGGCACUAAAAAUUUGUUCCAACAAUAGAUUUCUGUGGUUUUAACCUCACUUAUUUAAAAUUAAAUGGAUUUGUAAGCCA